UCAGACGUUGGAUCACGAACUCGUAUAAUCCUGGUAAUGGGACCGGGAGUAUCUACCAGGAGGCCGGAACCUCCUGACUACGAGUGACUGAGCCCGCCGU
This 100-nucleotide non-coding RNA is filed under the name Candidatus Lindowiibacteriota. Its description in RNAcentral is "Candidatus Lindowbacteria Guanine sequence". It matches the Rfam family "Purine riboswitch aptamer". From Rfam's summary of the family: Riboswitches are metabolite binding domains within certain messenger RNAs that serve as precision sensors for their corresponding targets. Allosteric rearrangement of mRNA structure is mediated by ligand binding, and this results in modulation of gene expression. A class of riboswitches that selectively recognises guanine and becomes saturated at concentrations as low as 5 nM. The record is from RNAcentral.